This 498-nucleotide ribosomal RNA is filed under the name uncultured bacterium. RNAcentral describes it as "partial 16S ribosomal RNA". It matches the Rfam family "Bacterial small subunit ribosomal RNA", at positions 28 to 507 of the family's 1533-position model. The record is from RNAcentral.
GACGAACGCUGGCGGCGUGCCUAAUACAUGCAAGUCGAGCGGACGAAUCGAAAGCUUGCUUUUGAUUCGUUAGCGGCGGACGGGUGGGUAACACGUGGGCAACCUGCCCUGUAGACGGGGAUAACACCGAGAAAUCGGUGCUAAUACCGGAUAACACGAAAUGUCGCAUGACGUUUCGUUGAAAGACGGCGCAAGCUGUCGCUACAGGAUGGGCCCGCGGCGCAUUAGCUAGUUGGUGAGGUAACGGCUCACCAAGGCGACGAUGCGUAGCCGACCUGAGAGGGUGAUCGGCCACACUGGGACUGAGACACGGCCCAGACUCCUACGGGAGGCAGCAGUAGGGAAUCUUCCGCAAUGGACGAAAGUCUGACGGAGCAACGCCGCGUGAGCGAAGAAGGCCUUCGGGUCGUAAAGCUCUGUUGUUAGGGAAGAACAAGUAACGCAGUAACUGGCGUUACCGUGACGGUACCUAACGAGAAAGCCACGGCUAACUACGUG